UAGAAAGCACACAAGAAUUUGCACUUCCAACCUAAUAAGUAUCAACAGAUAUUGAAGAAAUAUAGAUAUGCACCAAUAUUGACCACUCCUUUCAUGAACUUGAUCGCUUGUCAUGUUAUCCAUCCUUCAACAGUACAUCUGAUGACUCACUUUCACUUGAUAAAUUGCACAUCCUUUGUCUAGAAUAAAGGGCAGCCCCCAAUACAAGUAAUUCACUCAAGUGAAGAAUUGAAUACAAAAUUGACAUCACAUUGUUUACAGAUGUUAAAAACAUAAGAAACGGUCAGCAUAUCCACAUUGUAUAGUGCUCAGGCGCAAACAGUCCUAAAGGGAGUAUCAUUUAAUUUUUCAAAGGACAAAAAAAAACUGGACACCAUUUUACUGUACUGAACUACAACUAAAUGCAAAACAUUUCACUGCACCAUGGGAAAAGAUGGGACAUGCACGGCAUCUGAUGCACUAUAGUCCAGGGAUAUAAAAAGUAGCUGAUUCAAUAUUUAUUGACCCAGAAUGUGCCUGACUGAAAUUGUACAAUGUAUGUUAAUCAACUAGAUGGCAACUAUAGAAAGGGAAAUGUGGCUAAGAUGCAACCUUGAUGCCUGCCAUCAGUUCAUUAGUACCAACCACAUCACGAAGAGCAAGCCAUCUGGAAAAAAUCCAAUUCCCCUCACAAAAAUCCGAGUUCACCUUCCAUCUUAUGCAUAAAUAGCCAAUGGCUCCAACAACAAUAGCAGUUAAACAGUAGCCUACAUAGUCUGCAAGACAAUAAUUUUGCUUCAGUCGUUAUGUAAGAAAACAAACAAGUGUUUGCUGAACUUAGCUAAAUGAAAUACAAAAUAUAGAUUACAGGCAAACCUGCACACAUCUGCUAAGCUACAGGGCCUGCAAGAGAAUGAUUUUGCUUCAGCGUGCCUUUGUGCGCCUCCUGGGUGGUCAGGUGCGCCCUUUUGCGUGAAAAGCAGACCUAAGUCCUGCAACGCAUGUAUACAAAAACAAGGUAUUCACACAAACAAUGGGGGUAAGUAGCACACAAUCCUAGAUGGCGCACAUAGUAACUGCAUGCAAAUACUAUAUUACUCCCUCCAUCCCAUAAUGUAAGACGUUUUUUGACACAUAAUGUAAGACGUUUUUUGACACAUUAUGGGUGUCAAAAAACGUCUUACAUUAUGGGACAUAGGGAGUACAUGGUAGCAUACUUUCUUAGCAAAUCUAAGAAGGGAGUUUCUGCCAUUCACAAAAUGUCAUAAAGGUUAAUGCUUCAAGGCAUGUAUUACAUGGCAUCAGAUAGUGCCUGAUCCAGCCACAAUGCAAAUACAGUGCUAUAAAGUAGCAAAUAAUCUUAGGAAACGUAACACAGGAAGUUUUGGAUGCUCUAGAAACAUCAAAGGGGUUGGUGUCCUUGGGCAUAUAUUACGACAGGAAGGAUCUCACUUCCGGUCCAUGGAGCAGAAGGCCCAAUGCACGGAUGCAGGGUAGGCAUCAUCAUGACAUCAUCCUAGUAGUUAACUGGUCAAUAAGAGCUCUGGUGCAAAGCAAAACUGCAUUCAGAAGACCAUCGAAAAACAAGAAGCAACACAGAACACACUGCAAAGAGGGAACCACAUGACAAACUACUAGACCAUACUGUGGCACCCGGUCCACUUCCCUUUCCUGGCAGUCAGUGCUUUCUUAGUACGGAAAGCUUGAAUAAUCGCAGCAUGAGCUGGGCGGCUCCUCCAUCAGUGUCUUGCUAUUUAUGACCAGAGGCAAUUAGACACAAUUCAGAAGGAAGAAGGAUGCUCACCGGCGUCCACAAUAAUGCUCUCUCUUGAGCUGCGGAAAAGGAACAUCUUUUUGAAGAUGAUGUGGGGUAAAAUAUACAGAUAUGACAUAUUAUUUCAAUUCAGACAAAAGACUUACAAGCAUUACUUGGACAAGGAAUGAAACAACAUCAAAGAAAAUCAGAGAGGGUCAUGACGCAGAUAAGCUGUAAUGUUCAUUCCUUGCCGCAGUUUAAAUAACCUGAUAGGACUAAUAAAUCGUUUUAAUGGCUGUGACCAACAACUAUUACCAUACUAAGCCAAGACUAAUUUUUAAUACUCCCUCCAUCCCAUAAUAUAAGAUGUUACUACAACCAAUAUGUGAGUACAUUGGUUGUAAUAACGUCUUAUAUUAUGGGACGGAGGGAGUAGCAUUUAACCUUGCCCAAAAUUGCAGAUUUGAUUGUUACUAUAUUUGGUACGAUCUAGAUGACAUGAAAACAACUAUAUUAGUACAGAAACAUGUAUACAAUCGCGGUGAUAUUUUUGAUGAAUGGAUAAUAUUUUCAGGCAUUCACUAGGUACUAAUAUGCAGCGGGUAUGUUGAGUUACGAACUUCAAUAUGAUGUGGUUAACAAAUAGCACACAUAUGCUCGUUAAGAUUAACAGUUUCAUGCAUGAAAAUUUGUGGCUUACACAUAAACCAUUCUAAAAAUCAUACGAUCAGAGUUCCUCGGUUGAUUUGCUCCCCUGAACUCAACAGAGCAACCAUGGUCACUGACUCACCAUCUUCGUGUCUACCUGUUUGCAAGGAGACCAUUCACUAUGAUUAAUGAUGGAAAUUAAGCAAACAAUCCAGAAUUUUUUAGGAACUCAGUGACAUCAGAUUCAUGGACAAGUAGACCAGAAAUUAUACUAACCUGCAUAUGCUGCACUCUCCUGAGCCAAAUCUUGGAU
RNAcentral lists this long non-coding RNA (2696 nucleotides) under Triticum aestivum (bread wheat). Its description in RNAcentral is "long non-coding RNA (TAES_LNC022092)". Lineage: Eukaryota; Viridiplantae; Streptophyta; Magnoliopsida; Poales; Poaceae. The record is from RNAcentral.